UCUCCGUAGGUGAACCUGCGGAGGGAUCAUUACAGAGUUCUCGCCCUUCCGGGUAGAUCUCCCACCCUAUGUUAUUAUUACUUUGUUGCUUUGGCGGGCCGUUAGGCUCCGGCCCGACUACCGGCCCCGGCUGGUAAGCGCCCGCCAGAGGACCCAAAACCCUGAAUAUUAGUGUCGUCUGAGUACUAUAUAAUAGUUAAAACUUUCAACAACGGAUCUCUUGGUUCUG
RNAcentral lists this unclassified non-coding RNA (229 nucleotides) under plant metagenome. Its description in RNAcentral is "partial contains small subunit ribosomal RNA, internal transcribed spacer 1, and 5.8S ribosomal RNA". The record is from RNAcentral.